UGACACUGUCGUCAAUAGUGCGGAGCGUCAUUUAUACCUGCCGCUGACGAGCUACUUCACUUGGACGCCCUGUUGGGGUAUCCAUCCCGGGCUUCUCUAUCUCCACCAAAAUUUGUGGUUCAUAAUCAUACCGAAGAAACUCAAAUUGGGAGAGAUCCUUCCUGACGGAGGGCUAUGAACCACAAAACAUCGGACUUUGGGGCUUGCAGGAUUAAAGGGAAGGAUCAGGUGGAUCAGAACGCGCCAGAACAGCCGGUAAGAUGUACGCCUCUCAGACGCGUUAUCCGUUCCAGUUAACAUCCUGCCGAAUAGUCUUAAUAUCAUUUCUCUUUGACAAACGGUACAAUUGUCUCCGUGGUAGCAGAAGGUGCAACACCGAAUAAUGUAACGAUCAAACCAUCUGGUAAUUGGCUAAUUCCUCGUUUCAUCUUGUUCAUCUGCUAAAAAUGGCUACAUGAUUUCAUCCGAUAUGUGUUUGGACCUCACGGGAGCGCCUUAAACUGGGUUUCAGUUGCAGGGUAUCUAUUGGGAUAAGCUCCUCCUGUGUGGUAAAACUUUUCUGGAAAAAGGAAGCACGACAAGAAACUCGAGAUUACCAUGGCGAACUGGUCCUUGUCGACGAGGCGGUUUUCGUUCAUCCUUGAAGUCCGGUGCCUUCUAUCUCUGUCGGUUAAAAGAGCCAUCUUUGUAAUUCUUCGCUUGAAUAUGAUUUCUGGGUUUCGUUGACCGCUUCGUACCAGUGCCCAGCGGGCUCAUAAGAACAAUAAAAGGCGUCACCCAUGAAGUCAUCCCCCCCNNNNN
Molecule: long non-coding RNA, 801 nt
Filed under: Spirodela polyrhiza (greater duckweed)
Lineage: Eukaryota; Viridiplantae; Streptophyta; Magnoliopsida; Alismatales; Araceae
Description: long non-coding RNA (SPOL_LNC002420)
Source: RNAcentral